UACGUAGGUGGCAAGCGUUGUCCGGAAUUAUUGGGCGUAAAGCGCGCGCAGGCGGUCCUUUAAGUCUGAUGUGAAAGCCCACGGCUCAACCGUGGAGGGUCAUUGGAAACUGGGGGACUUGAGUGCAGGAGAGAAGAGUGGAAUUCCCGGUGUAGCGGUGAAAUGCGCAGAUAUCAGGAGGAACACCGGUGGCGAAGGCGGGUCUCUGGGCCGAUACUGACGCUGAGGAGCGAAAGCGUGGGGAGCGAACAGG
This 253-nucleotide ribosomal RNA is filed under the name uncultured bacterium. RNAcentral's name for it is "partial 16S ribosomal RNA". It matches the Rfam family "Bacterial small subunit ribosomal RNA", at positions 524 to 776 of the family's 1533-position model. The record is from RNAcentral.